RNAcentral lists this ribosomal RNA (301 nucleotides) under uncultured bacterium. Its description in RNAcentral is "partial 16S ribosomal RNA". It matches the Rfam family "Bacterial small subunit ribosomal RNA", at positions 509 to 809 of the family's 1533-position model. The record is from RNAcentral.
CAGUAGCCACGGGAAUACAGAGGGUGCGAGCGUUAAUCGGAUUUACUGUGCGUAAAGCGUGCGUAGGCGGCUUCUUAAGUCGGAUGUGAAAUCCCUGAGCUUAACUUAGGAAUUGCAUUCGAUACUGGGAAGCUAGAGUAUGGGAGAGGAUGGUAGAAUUCCAGGUGUAGCGGUGAAAUGCGUAGAGAUCUGGAGGAAUACCGAUGGCGAAGGCAGCCAUCUGGCCUAAUACUGACGCUGAGGUACGAAAGCAUGGGGAGCAAACAGGAUUAGAUACCCCGGUAGUCCCUGUCUCUUAUAA